This is a long non-coding RNA of Astyanax mexicanus (Mexican tetra), 330 nucleotides long. RefSeq lists it as uncharacterized. The record is from RefSeq and is a predicted model, not a curated record. The transcript is spliced from 3 exons. Lineage: Eukaryota; Metazoa; Chordata; Actinopteri; Characiformes; Acestrorhamphidae.
UCUUUCAAAAGUUUAUUUAUUUUACAAUGUCCGUCCUACUUUAAAUCACAUGUUUGUCAUGAGCUCUUUAGUGAGUUAGGUUAGUUGUUUUGCGGCACUGGCUUUCUAUUUACUGUUUUUUUUAAAUAUAUGAAAUAGGAACACUCACUGACCCACACAGUGUCAUGUGAUACUGUGACAUAGAGCUUUCCCAGGAUGCAUUGGGGUGCAGUUAAAUUUUUUAAUUUGAUUAAUAAUUAAGGAAUUGUGUAUGGAGGAUUUUUUCUGAUGUAUUGUGAUGUUAGUUUGUGGUGAAAUAGAUGUGUUAGGGUUGUUGUUUUGCGUUUUUGG